Molecule: long non-coding RNA, 1134 nt
Organism: Gasterosteus aculeatus (three-spined stickleback)
Lineage: Eukaryota; Metazoa; Chordata; Actinopteri; Perciformes; Gasterosteidae
Source: Ensembl
AUGAGAAGGAAAGCAUGGGUGGUGAGAGGCCGGAAACUAGCUCAGAAGAUCGUUGAUAACUGUGUGAUAUGCAGGAGACUUAAGGCCCGAAGGUGCCAACAGAUCAUGAGUGACCUUCCAUCGGAGCGAAUAACACCAGCCAAUCCAUUUGAGUACACAACGGUGGACUUAUUUGGACCAUAUGAAGUGAAGGAUGAGGUAAGAAAGAAAGUGAAACUCAAGGUGUGGGGAAUCGUCUUCUGUUGCAUGGCGUCCAGAGCUAUGCACACAGACCUAGUCAGUGACCAGUCGGCUGAAGGCUUCCUGCUAGCCUACCAAAGAUUUACGGCACUGAGAGGACAACCAAGGAAAUUGUCGUCGGAUCCUGGGAACUUUGUCGGAGCCAAACCUGCCCUCAAAGAGCUCCACAUGUUUCUGGACCGACUGGAGAAAUCAGAGCUUGGAAAUGACGGUUCCAAGCAUGGCACAGAGUGGAGCUGGAAGAUCCAUCCAGCAGACUCACUUCACAGAAACGGAGCUGCUGAGGCUGCUGUUCGGACUGUGAAGCGGGCUUUGCACAAUCUGGGGGGUAAUGGAGUCUUCACAUGGGGUGAGUUUCAAACUUUCCUCUAUAUGGCUUCCAACCUCGCCAAUGAACGACCAAUCGAUGCCAGGACUCAGAGCCGAGAGGACUGUAUAGAAUACAUUAGCCCAAAUGCACUUCUGCUUGGAAGAACUGGACCCAGAGGGGAUCCAGGGACCUUUGACUUUAAAGGCUACUCUUACAGCAGGUUAAGAACCAUCCAAACAGAAGUUGACAGGUUCUGGAGGAAAUGGAGCCAGUUAGCCGGACCAAACUUGUUUGUCCGGACUAAGUGGCACACAGCUCACAGGAAUGUGGCAAUUAGAGAUGUCGUCUGGCUGGCCGACCAGAACGCCUUGAGAGUCCCCUUGAGUCAGUUCAGGCUUGCCAGGGUCAUUGACGUCAGCACUGACGGGAAGGGAAUUGUGAGGGAUGUAUAUCUCCGAUCCUUUCCCAGCUACCCAGUCGCAACUGUGACACCCCCAAAAAAAGAGGAAAAAACGCUCGAGCAAGAUACCUGCAACAAUUCUUCACAGGGAUGUCCGGCGGGUAGUUGUCCUACUCCCAGUUGA